Immersiella caudata is the source of this 125-nucleotide non-coding RNA. Lineage: Eukaryota; Fungi; Ascomycota; Sordariomycetes; Sordariales; Lasiosphaeriaceae. The record is from the annotation of a GenBank genome assembly.
GCCCGCUUGGCUCAGUGGUAGAGCGUGUCACUAGUAUGGAACAAUUGGUAGAGAUGAAGAGAUCAUCUAUCUAUCUAUCUAUCUAUAUAUAUAUCAAGGUUGUGGUUCGACCCCCACAUCGGGCU